CCUACGGGAGGCAGCAGUGAGGAAUAUUGGUCAAUGGGCGCAAGCCUGAACCAGCCAAGUCGCGUGAGGGAAGACGGCCCUACGGGUUGUAAACCUCUUUUGCCGGGGAGCAAGCCUGAGCACGUGUGCCCAGGCGGAGAGUACCCGGAGAAAACGCAUCGGCUAACUCCGUGCCAGCAGCCGCGGUAAUACGGAGGAUGCGAGCGUUAUCCGGAUUUAUUGGGGUUAAAGGGUGCGCAGGCGGGCUGUUAAGCCGGCGGUAAAAAUUCAGGGCUCAACCCUGUCGAGCCGUCGGAACUGGCAGCCUUGAGUGGGCGAGAAGUAUGCGGAAUGCGUGGUGUAGCGGUGAAAGGCAUAGAUAUCACGCAGAACGCCGAUUGCGAAGGCAGCAUACCGGCGCCCGACUGACGCUGAGGCACGAAAGCGUGGGGAUCGAACAGGAUUAGAUACCCGAGUAGUC
RNAcentral lists this ribosomal RNA (460 nucleotides) under uncultured bacterium. Its description in RNAcentral is "partial 16S ribosomal RNA". It matches the Rfam family "Bacterial small subunit ribosomal RNA", at positions 338 to 795 of the family's 1533-position model. The record is from RNAcentral.